Salmo salar (Atlantic salmon) is the source of this 54-nucleotide non-coding RNA. The record is from Rfam. Lineage: Eukaryota; Metazoa; Chordata; Actinopteri; Salmoniformes; Salmonidae.
AUAAUAUGCUCCUGUAAGUCGCUCUAGAUAAGAGCGUCUGCUAAAUGACUAAAA